CUCCAAACUCUUCACCCUUCUGUGAAUAGCCCUGUAACAGUACAAGAAUGAAAAACCGUCCAGUGUGCUUUGGUAACCCAAGAAUACAGAAUGUCAUAUUGCCAUAUCUGUCUUAUGUGCCUAUGUUCAAUAUAAAAUACAGCUGCAGAGUAUUGCAGCUGAUUUCUUACUCCUAUAUAGAAAGCAAAUACAAAU
This is a long non-coding RNA of Nanorana parkeri, 195 nucleotides long. RefSeq lists it as uncharacterized. NCBI's taxonomy places the organism in Eukaryota, Metazoa, Chordata, Amphibia, Anura, Dicroglossidae. The record is from RefSeq and is a predicted model, not a curated record. The transcript is spliced from 3 exons.